CGACCGGCGCACGGGUGAGUAACACGUAUGCAACCUGGCCGUGACAGAUGGAUAACCGGGAGAAAUCCCGCCUAAUACAGCAUGACGCCGGGAAGGGACAUCCCUUUCCGGCCAAAGGGGGUGACUCCGGUCACGGAUGGGCAUGCGGCGCAUUAGGUAGUUGGUGGGGCAACGGCCCACCAAGCCGACGAUGCGUAGGGGUUCUGAGAGGAAGGUCCCCCACACUGGUACUGAGACACGGACCAGACUCCUACGGGAGGCAGCAG
Molecule: ribosomal RNA, 266 nt
Filed under: uncultured bacterium
Lineage: Bacteria
Description: partial 16S ribosomal RNA
Rfam family: Bacterial small subunit ribosomal RNA
Source: RNAcentral